This is a long non-coding RNA of Stylophora pistillata, 450 nucleotides long. The record is from RefSeq and is a predicted model, not a curated record. Lineage: Eukaryota; Metazoa; Cnidaria; Anthozoa; Scleractinia; Pocilloporidae.
UAGAGAGUUUCAAUGGGGUUAACCGGUAUAUUAUACGCAGAAAUGACAAAUUUUAACCGGUCGUUCUAAAAAGAUUAACCGUAAAAAUUUUGUCUGGUGACCACAAUGGAAAAUUAUCAACUGUUAGCCUUAAAUUGGCCAAAAUUUUAACCGUUGGCCGUAAAUACCAUCGGUCACCUCAUUGACAUGAUUGAUACCCUCUUUUUAGGGGAGAACUGAGGGGGGAUCGUUCGUCGCAAACAGUCUAAGGGGGGAAGGGGCAUAGAAAAUUGACUGCCAAUGAGGGGAUCUCAUCAGAAUACUACAGAGCCAUAUCCAGGAUCAUAUGGAUUACAGUGGGUCCCAAUGAGGUUAACCAUUAUCAGGUAACUUUCAUUAUGACACAACCCCUCCCCACAGGUGAAAGAUAAUGACUGGCACCUUAGUUCCACCCCCUACCGAUCAGAAAAA